Molecule: unclassified non-coding RNA, 458 nt
Filed under: Hevea brasiliensis (rubber tree)
Lineage: Eukaryota; Viridiplantae; Streptophyta; Magnoliopsida; Malpighiales; Euphorbiaceae
Source: RNAcentral
UGUGGGAUCAAUUGGGUGCACUUGACCAUCAAAAGCAAGUAAUGCCGGUGGAAACACCCCUGGUUGCCAUAAUUCCAGUCCAGAUUUUAGACUAUGUUUCAACCAUUUAUGGUAAUUUGUUGUGACAUUGGCUCUCCUCCAAGUGUUAAGAUCAAAGACAUUCAUGCCAUAAAGCCAGGCACAACGUUCAGGAUCAAAAUUAGAUGAAAUUAUUGGGUGAGAAAAAUUCAAAAAAUCUUUAUAUCUUCGUCCUGGGCAGCAGUUUUCACCGCACCAUGAGUCAACAACAGCACCAACAACUUUCUUGUUGAGAUCCAAUUCCCACAAAGAUGAUAUGUCAUGUUGCACUACUACAUCAUCAUCCAAGAAAACUAUCUUGUUGAGAUCUGGAAACAGCUGUGCAGCCCAUGAAAGUCAAAUUGUAGAUCCAUCAUUAUUAAAUACUUCAUACAUUCAAC